UCAAAUUACAUAAACUAUACUUAAUUUGUUGCCAUAAGGCGCAAAUGCAAGUGUUGCGCAUGCUCACUGAAGUCUGAGUUCAAAAAACAACAUCUGAAGGCGCAAUGGCGAUCUACUGUCUGACUCAGCGAAAAGGAGGAUUUGGAUGAAUAGAUGUGGAUGUUUUACAAGAAACCUCAUCAGUGGGACAAUAACUCAAUUAUGAUAUGUGAGUUUUGUGGAAACGUAAAGUGUGUGGAAGAAGCAUCACAGAACUAUCCAGUAUGUUUAAGUUAUUGAAACAUUCUAAGAUUAAAUUUGGACAUUUUGAGGAGAGAUUCAGUCAACCUGUUCACAGUAAAUUAAAUAAAAGCGGAAUUAAUGCGGAUAACGACUGUGCCACUUCUGUCAAUGUUCAUAGCAGCUGGACAGAUACACUGUUAAUCAAAUUAAAGUUUUCAGCAGCAAAGGAGCUUCUGGACAAAAGAUAUCACACACAUUGCAGUUGCAGACAAGUGCGAAGAUAUACACUUCAAAUGAGACUGUGUUAUAAAGAGUCUGUGUGUGUAUCUCAAUGGGGACAUUACAACACUUCCAGUUCUCCAGAAUUCUUCCAGAAUUCCAGGACUGCAAUCCUGAAGGAACUGAGGGAGGAAUUUCUGAGACCACUCUGGGCCCUUUUGUGACCCUUAAAGAAAGCGCUGAGGAUGAGCCAGUGGAUGUUGGCGUAGCAACAGAGGGUUUAAAACUACUACAACACUUAGGAGUUUUUCCUUUGGAUGCUGUUUGCUGUUUGGAUUGAUCUACGCAAUCAAGCUAUGCUCCGAGUCUCAAAUUCACUUUUGAAUUCUUCCAGAAGGUACUGAUGAAUUUAGAUUUUAGGACAUCACACAGAUGUUUCGAUCCACUGGAAGGACUUAGAAACUUUGAAACCUAAGAAACAUUGAAUUGAAGACUAUGAUCAAUGACACUAUGAACCAAUGACACUAACUCAAAUCAAGAGACUACAUCUAAUGCACCUUAUGGCUUCCUCAAACUCUGAUAUUUUUAAAGGGUUAGUUCACCUAAAAAUGAAAUUUCUGUCAUUAAUUACUCACCCUCAUGUCGUUCCACACCUGUAAGACCUUUGUUCAUCUUUGGAACACAAAUUAGGUUAUUUUUGAUUAAAUCCGUGAGCUAUCUGACCUCAGAUAGACUGCAACACAACUACCACUUUCAAGGCCCAGAAAGGUAGUAAAGACAUUGUUAAAAUAGUCAAUGUGACUGCAGUGGUUCAACCUUAAUGUUAUGAAGUGACAAGAAUACUAUUUGAGCGCAAAAAACAAAACAAAAAAACUACUUUCUUCCCUUUUAUGUCAUGCUCCUACGCAGCUGAGGUUGUACACACAUAAUAUCUUAAUUUGUGUUCUGAAGAUUAAUGAACGUCUUAGGGGUUUGGAGCAAAAUUAGGGUGAGUAAUUAAUGAAAGAAAUUAAAUUUUUGGGUGAACUAACCCUUUAACAGAGA
Megalobrama amblycephala (Wuchang bream) is the source of this 1485-nucleotide long non-coding RNA. RefSeq lists it as uncharacterized. The record is from RefSeq and is a predicted model, not a curated record. Lineage: Eukaryota; Metazoa; Chordata; Actinopteri; Cypriniformes; Xenocyprididae. The transcript has 6 exons.